UUGAUAUACACUUGGGGCAUUUUAUGCAAAUGUCAAAGCUUUUGAAAUUACUUAGUUGUUUGCUGAAAAGAAACUCUUCAGAUAUUUUAUGUUGAUAUUAAUGGUCAAGAUCAUUGAAUAGGUUAAGGGUGAUUAGUUAUUUAAAGGUGUGAAGAAAAAAAAGGUCACUUGAACAGUAUAAGAAGUUGAAGAAUUUAAAGGAACAAUGAUUUAUUGCAAGUAGCAAUUGUGGAUAGACUUAAUUUUGAAAUGUUUCAAAUGAACAAAGUAUUGUUAAAUGUUCAGAAAGGCUUCUCAUUUAAGAGGGCCGGAAUGUGGAGUACAGGAUGACGUUUUGCUUUAAGCCGAUUCUUGUGAUGUCACAGGCGUCGCUUUGUAGAAAGUGUAUGGAUUAGGUCGCUUGAGGGCGUACUGGAUUUUGUGUGUUACUGAUUUUCCACGUCAUGGGAUAGUUGCCUCCCAGAGUUGCCUAAGUUUUCGUUUAAUUUUGUGAUACAAGCCCAAUGAUAUUGAACCUUGCCUGCUACAGUCUAUAACCAAA
This is a long non-coding RNA of Strongylocentrotus purpuratus (purple sea urchin), 541 nucleotides long. RefSeq lists it as uncharacterized. The record is from RefSeq and is a predicted model, not a curated record. NCBI's taxonomy places the organism in Eukaryota, Metazoa, Echinodermata, Echinoidea, Camarodonta, Strongylocentrotidae. The transcript is spliced from 2 exons.